Lycium barbarum (goji berry) is the source of this 2556-nucleotide long non-coding RNA. RefSeq lists it as uncharacterized. The transcript has 3 exons. NCBI's taxonomy places the organism in Eukaryota, Viridiplantae, Streptophyta, Magnoliopsida, Solanales, Solanaceae. The record is from RefSeq and is a predicted model, not a curated record.
UCGAAGCGUAAAAUAAUUAUUAGUAUAAGAUUUGUUAUUCCAAUGCGAUAGAAGAUGUAUAUACUUAUGUGCUUACCCAAAUAGCUGUUAAGUAUUCCUCUCAUAUUACUUGAUCACUUUUUCUUUUACACAGUCCUUAACAAAUUAUAAAUAAAAGAUGUAUACCACUACCUUACUCCUAUCUUUCCAAUGAAUACAUUCUAAUCAAUGUUGACUAUUUUCAAGAACAUGUAAUACUAAGGGUAAGAUGGAAAAGAUUUAAUUAAUUUUAUUUUGAUUUUAUAAACGAACAAGUAAUUUGAGACAUAUAUUUUUGCUAAUGUGACCAAAUAAUAUGGGAUGGAGGGAGUACUUUUGUUUCUUCUUCUUUUUUUCUAAAUCUAUAGGCUACCAUAAUUAUAGUAAAAGAUAUUUUUUUUCAAUGCAAUAGAAGAUGUUCAAAAAAACUGCCAAACUUUGUGUGUAAUUUCAACAAUCUUUUUAACAAAUAUCUAUCAGAUUAAACGGGUUAGAGGGUUUUGGAAAAAAAAUGAUAUUUAAAAAUAUUUGAAUUUAAAUAGAAAGAUAAAACUACUUAAAUUUUGAUUUAAAUUGAAAGAUAAUAUAGUUAAGUUUAGAUAAAAGAAUCUUAGUUGCAAAAGUGGCUUAAUAGAAAGUAUAAUUCAAUUCAAUUGCUGGUUUUUAAUCAGGUCAUAUUUGAUUGAGUAUAAAAUGUGAAUUUGGUUAAAUGAGUUUGAUGAAAUAAAUAGGUAUAUUAUUCAAACAAUUGGCUUCAAUGACAUGGCAUGCCAAAUAGGAGAGAAGGAGACUUUUGAUGUGUUUAGUAUAUUUUGAGGAAAAUAGUGAUAGUUGAAUGACUUCUUGUCCUAAAAGAAACAAAAGUAAUAUUUGGAGACAAUUCUCUAAACUUGGGUGAUCAUUUAGGGAAUUAACUCGCUUCGUGCCGUACUUUCACGAGCAACAUGAUGUUCAAGUCCGAAAUUUAAAGUGAAUUUUGAUUUGUACCGAUAAGGAUUGUGGUUAAGUGGUCCUUAAUCAGAGGUAUGAGGUUUGAGUCCUACUUAGUAUGAAGUCUCCACUGUUAUUGGGGAUGAAAAAUAAAAAAGAAUUUAGAUUUGUUUGUUCGUAGUUGUCAUCCAAUAUUGAUGAUAACAUGUACUUCUUCUGUUUCAAUUCAUAUGACGUAGGCUGAGUGAAUACAAAAUUUCAAGAUUUUUUUUUUUUGAAACUUUUAAUUUUAAAAAUGCUCUAACAUUUGUGUGAUUAUAUGACUCUUAAAACUUCUUAUCUUCAAUAUGGCAUAUAUGCGCAUGAGUAAGAUUUUGUCACUACAAACAAUAGUUAUUUAUAAUUAAAUUAUUUUUAAAACAAAUUAAUAAGAUAAUAACCGGAGAAAUAUAAAUUAGUUCUGUUAUAUCCCGCAUUUCGCGCAUUCGGAUAAUUUAAGAUAAUUGCGGGAAGUUAAAAAGCAAGGCCAUAUUUUUAUUUUGUUUAGCACAUAAGUUGUUUAUGAAAAUUUUGAAGUGGAAACAUUAAGAAAGGACAAGGCUACAUUUUGAUCUUGGUUGGUGCAUAAGUUGUUCAUAAAAAUUUUUGAUGUGAAAAUAUUGAGGAAGGUGAAGGGCAAAAUUGAAAUUGUGAAAAAUAGUUCCAUGAAUUAUAAGAACUAGCCAUGAAAUAAUUGGGCUUGAAUUUUUUUUUUUAAAAAGGGGGCCCAACCGGCCAUAGGCAUGGGCCAAGCCCAUGUGGAAAUUAAAUUUAAGUCAUAAAAGAGAGAGAAGGGUCAUUAUUUGUCAAGAAUAUUCAAGAAAGGAAGAAGACUUGAGAGAAAUUAAGGGGGCAUGUGCUAUGCACAUGGGUGUGUGCCAUGCACAUGACCUUUUAAUAUAUAGGGCACAUGGAAGAAUUUAUUCUUCAUAUGCUCAUUUGGAAGAUUCAAGAAACUAAAGAGGAAAAAAAAUGAAGAGGGGAGAGAACAAGAGGCCUAUUCGGCCAUGGCUAUGGAAAAAUAGCCAUUGGAAAUCUUGUUCUAAAAAUUAUUUUCUUCAUGUAUUCCUACUAAUUCAAGGGUCCUCUACAACGUGGUGUAGUUGUUUUGGAAGAUAGAUCGCUCGUUUUAUCGAUUUCGCACCCUAGUCAAGUGAAGGAGUUAAGAAGAAAAAUUUAGGAGGAAACGGGAUUUGAGUUUGGACAAGCGUAAAAGGCAAAUAAGGUACACCCAGAUGAUGUGAAGUUAUUAUAGAGGAUGUUCCAGCAGAGUUGGCAAGCUCCAUUUGCUCCUGGAGCGCUGCCGAGUCAGAGUUUGUAUGCAUGCUUUCUGGAUUGAUGUUAGAGACUUUGCAGACAGAGUCGUGGGUAUAGUAUGUCAGUGGUGUAAGCGGCUCCAUCAGCCGAUAUGUCAUUCUGUAUUAUAUGUUAAAUUCUAUAUGAUCACAAAUUCUGUUUGAUUUGGAAAGCUUCGAAAAAGAAUAUUUUUGAGAGCAUACGGUGUAUUUUAUUUUUAUUUGAUUUAAAAGCCUAAUAAGAUUUUGUAUGUCCUAAAGGUCUGUGGGUUCU